RNAcentral lists this ribosomal RNA (196 nucleotides) under uncultured Actinomycetales bacterium. Its description in RNAcentral is "partial 16S ribosomal RNA". It matches the Rfam family "Bacterial small subunit ribosomal RNA", at positions 138 to 334 of the family's 1533-position model. The record is from RNAcentral. Lineage: Bacteria; Bacillati; Actinomycetota; Actinomycetes; Actinomycetales.
UUGGGAUAACUUCAGGAAACUGGGGCUAAUACCGGAUAGGAGGCUCCUGCUGCAUGGUGGGGGUUGGAAAGUUUCGGCGGUUGGGGAUGGACUCGCGGCUUAUCAGCUUGUUGGUGGGGUAGUGGCUUACCAAGGCUUUGACGGGUAGCCGGCCUGAGAGGGUGACCGGCCACAUUGGGACUGAGAUACGGCCCAG